UACGAAGGGGGCUAGCGUUGUUCGGAAUUACUGGGCGUAAAGCGCAUGUAGGCGGCGAUUCAAGUCGGGGGUGAAAUCCUGGAGCUCAACUCCAGAACUGCCUUCGAUACUGCAUUGCUGGAGUAUGGAAGAGGUAGGUGGAACUGCGAGUGUAGAGGUGAAAUUCGUAGAUAUUCGCAAGAACACCAGUGGCGAAGGCGGCCUACUGGUCCAUCACUGACGCUGAGAUGCGAAAGCGUGGGGAGCAAACAGGAUUAGAUACCCUGGUAGUCCACGCCAUAAACGAUGAGAGCUAGCUGUUGGAGGGUUUACUCUUCAGUAGCGCAGAUAACUCGAUAAGCUCUCCGCCUGGGGAGUACGGUCGCAAGAUUAAA
This 374-nucleotide ribosomal RNA is filed under the name uncultured bacterium. RNAcentral describes it as "bacterial SSU rRNA". It matches the Rfam family "Bacterial small subunit ribosomal RNA", at positions 524 to 898 of the family's 1533-position model. The record is from RNAcentral.